Juglans microcarpa x Juglans regia is the source of this 536-nucleotide long non-coding RNA. RefSeq lists it as uncharacterized. The record is from RefSeq and is a predicted model, not a curated record. NCBI's taxonomy places the organism in Eukaryota, Viridiplantae, Streptophyta, Magnoliopsida, Fagales, Juglandaceae. The transcript has 2 exons.
UGAACAAAAAAGCCGUUUGUCCGACCCGGCUGAAAUUUCGACCCGACCUGACCCGAUCCGAAAAAGGCCGAACUGUUUAUGUGAAAAAGGGAACCGGAAUUAACCGUAACCCCUUUGCUUUUUAAUCGGGUAAUACCCGAUACUCGUUUUUAGCUGAUUAUAUCCAUCACAGCUCACUCUCUCUCUUCCUCGCAGCUCUCACUCUCUCCAGAGAACCUUAGCGUCCUCGAUAAUGGCAAUGCUUGAAGAAGGAAACCAAAACUGAGCCAGUGAACUAGCUCGAUAAUGUUCGCUAUCCUCUCGCACGAUUUUUCAUGUGGUUUGGUUUCCUGGUCAGAGGAUGUCCAGGCCUUUGUUGUUCGUGUUUGAUUCUUCUCGCACAGCUUCGGUUGUAUUGCUAACCCAUUGCUAAUUCAAAGACUAACUAUCAUGAUAGAUUCUGGAAGUUGACAUCAUGUGAUAAUUCAAAGACUAUCAUGACAAAUUCUGGAAACUCAGAUUAAAGAUGUUUGAAUUUGAAGGUCUUUCAAGGUCUU